RNAcentral lists this non-coding RNA (159 nucleotides) under marine eukaryotic metagenome. The record is from RNAcentral.
CACCGCAAGGUGGGGUCCGGAGGAAGCCGGCCGGGAAACGCGCGGGCCCGACGAACAGAAACGUCGUAGUAGGCCGGCGUCGCGAGGCGAGGUGGCCAAGCACACCGAGCCGCGGAUUCGAGCGACGCAGGUAAACGGCGCGGGCCCCGGGGAAGGUUC